CCUACGGGGGGCUGCAGUGAGGAAUAUUGGUCAAUGGGCGCAAGCCUGAACCAGCCACGUCGCGUGAAGGAAGACGGCCCUACGGGUUGUAAACUUCUUUUGUAAGGGAAUAAAGUGUAGUACGUGUACUAUUUUGCAUGUACCUUACGAAUAAGGAUCGGCUAACUCCGUGCCAGCAGCCGCGGUAAUACGGAGGAUCCGAGCGUUAUCCGGAUUUAUUGGGUUUAAAGGGUGCGCAGGCGGGAGAUUAAGUCGGCGGUGAAAUUUUGCAGCUUAACUGUAAAAGUGCCUUCGAAACUGGUUUCCUUGAGUGUAGAUGAAGUAGGCGGAAUUUGUGGUGUAGCGGUGAAAUGCAUAGAUAUCACGAGGAACUCCGAUUGCGCAGGCAGCUUACUAAACUACUACUGACGCUCAGGCACGAAGGCGUGGGGAUCAAACAGGAUUAGAUACCCGUGUAGUC
RNAcentral lists this ribosomal RNA (460 nucleotides) under uncultured Porphyromonadaceae bacterium. RNAcentral describes it as "bacterial SSU rRNA". It matches the Rfam family "Bacterial small subunit ribosomal RNA", at positions 338 to 795 of the family's 1533-position model. The record is from RNAcentral. Lineage: Bacteria; Pseudomonadati; Bacteroidota; Bacteroidia; Bacteroidales; Porphyromonadaceae.